GUGCUGGCCGUGGCGGUGCCCACCUCCCUGCUGCUCCUGCUUCUCGCCGCCUUUUCCCUCCUGAUUGUCACCCGCCAUCGGGCAGCUGUCAAGGCAAAAGCUCCCCGGGAAGAAGAGGGGCUCGGGCAGCGCAGCCCCAUCUACAAGGGCAGCCUGGAGUCGGUGCCCUCCACCGCUGGGGACACCCAGCCCCUCGUGAUGUGAGCUCAGGAGGAAAGAGACCCUCCACCUGCCGUCCGGGCUUCUUUCGAGAUUCAGCCUCUUCUUCUGUCUUGGGAUGAUGGGAUCUCACCGACGCAGAAUCUCUUUGGGGUGUUAAUUGCCUUUGAUUUUGAGAAUGGGGGAGUUUGGCUUGCGGAAGGGAGACCUUUCCUCUUGGCUGG
Molecule: non-coding RNA, 383 nt
Organism: Anolis sagrei ordinatus
Lineage: Eukaryota; Metazoa; Chordata; Lepidosauria; Squamata; Anolidae
Source: RefSeq, a predicted model, not a curated record